RNAcentral lists this long non-coding RNA (6425 nucleotides) under Olea europaea (common olive). Its description in RNAcentral is "long non-coding RNA (OEUR_LNC008627)". Lineage: Eukaryota; Viridiplantae; Streptophyta; Magnoliopsida; Lamiales; Oleaceae. The record is from RNAcentral.
AUAUUUCAUCUUUAAUGUCAUUACAGAUUGGAUUCCGCAGGGUAGAGGACUUAACUUCAGAUUAUCGGUGAAAAGUCAAGGAGCGUCCAAGAAUUAAUCAAGAUUCAAACAAACACAACAAACAGUAAAGAAAUGCAGAAAAUUGUAAAAUGUACACAAGAUUUUUCCGGUCGAAGCCCCAGAGGUUUGGUGACCACUUCUAAUGCCUAUUCUCCUGUUGAGCAUCCAUUAAAAUGGAUAAAGUUCGGUUGCACUAUAAAGCCCCAAAAAUCAAGCAACAAAAAUACAACAGUGUUUCAAAAAUUUACAAAGAACCAAAUAUAGAACUUAUCUUUUCUAGAACUACACAAGGCAACCACUAUUCCACACAGGAACUAACUGAGAUCACGAAGAUCAACCAACACAGAUUUUGCCCUCCAAACUGCCCUUUCUUGAACCACACAGGUUCAUACAAGACUCGGCACACAUUUAACCAAGGUAACUCUCAACAUUUAUCACUGGAACCCUCAAGAAAAAACCCUUUUCAUGAAGAAAAUGAAGUUCUCACACAGAGAAAAACGAGAACCCGAAUACGGUCUCAACACCAAGAAUAAUAUCCGAAAUCUUGCUUCCAGUUAAAUGAAUCACCCAAGAAUAAUAGAGAGUUAACACUCAGAGAAGAAGAGACAGGCAACUUCGAACCCUCGAGAAUAGCUCACGUCUUUUUGCCAAAAACCAAGAAUAAAGUCUCUGAAAUUUUCUUCUCUAACUGCCGAUCACAAAACAAGAGUAAUCACCAAUAAUAUCUUCAACAUAAGAACCCUAAAUCACCAAGAAAUUAGAGAUUCUCGAAGAGAAAGAAAGGGGCAAGUUCACGAGCUGAAGGAAAGAAAUAAUUUCUAAAUUUUUCUGUCAAAAACUGAAGUUGAACCUGUCCAUCAGAAUAGGUACCAGAUUUAUAUAUUAUAAGUCAUCAGAAUCUGAUCCAAUGGUCUCCAAGAUGCCAAGUGUCAAAAUCUUGUUAAUUGCCCUCACUAAUAGAGUUGUUAUUAUUGAAAGACACGUUUUCUUCAAUAAUUUUGGAAGCACUCUUCACACAAUAAAAAGUCAGCAGCUUAAUUUUUAACAAUCUUCACCUUGCUUCCAAAAUUUAAGGCUAUAGUGCACCCACAAGCUUCACCAACGUUUAUAAUGUCAUUUGAUCCAGGUACCUAUAAAAUCAAUUAAAAGAAUCAAUAGAUAACAUCUUUAAACAGUUUUGAAACUUAUUUAAAGGUAUUACCUUAGUUCCCAUAUCUGAUAGAUUAUACAAAGUAGGUAUUUUAUUUAUUUUCAACAAUCCUUUUGAUAUAAUAUCCCUUAUAAAGUGAUAUUUUACAUCAACAUGCUUCAUUCUAUCAUGGAAAUCAACAUGCUUCAUUCUAUCAUGGAACAUGGGAUUCUUACUCAAAUGGAUUGCACUUUGAUUGUCAGAAUAUAGUAUUGGAUUAGUGUCUACAAAACCAAGUUCAUUCAACAAACCAUGCAGCCAUAUGCCUUCUUUAAUGGCAUCAGUGGCAGCAAUAUAUUCAGCCUCCGUGAAAGAUAGAGCAACAAUUUUUUGUAACUAAGACUUCCAACUUAUCACAAUACCACACAAAGUGUAAAAAUAAGAUGAAGUUGAUUUUCUAUUGUCUCUAUUUCCAACAAAAUCAGAAUCUGUAUAACCUUUUAAAAUUACCCCUUCUUUGUCCAUUUUAAACACCAAACCCAAGUUAGGUGAACCCUUUAAGUAUCUCAAUAACCACUUCAAUGCUUCCCAUUGAAUUUCACUAGGAUUUCCCAUAAAUCUACUCAAAACACUAAUACUAAAAGCCAAAUCAAGUCUAGUGCAAACCAUUAAGUACAUGAUUGAACCAAUAGCAUUAGCAUAAGGAAUUUUAGACAUUCUUUCAAGUUCAUCUUCAGUUUUAGGACACGAAUCAGAUGUUAAUAUAAAGUGAUUAGAAAGGGGUAAAGUCACAGGUUUACAAUCAAACAUAUUAAACCUUUUUAGGAUCUUAUUCACAUAAUCUUAUUGACAUAAGAACAAGCAAUCAGAUCUCUCAUCUCUAAAAAUUUGCAUGCCAAGUAUUUUCUUAGCGGGACCAAGAUCCUUCAUUUCAAAUUCUGAUUUUAAUUUGUGUUUGAUAUCAUCAAUUUCAGAUUUAUUAGCACUAGCAAGAAGCAUAUCAUCAACAUAAAACACAAAAUACAAUGAAUCUUUACCUCCACUUCCUUUACAAUAAAGACAUGUAUCAUAAUUGCUUCUACUAAAUCCAAGUUUUAGGACAAAUGAAUCAAACUUUUAUACCAUUGUCUUGGAGCUUGUUUUAGGCCAUAUAAUGAUUUUUUCAACAAACACACAAUUUUUUCAAGAUUUCCUUUAGUAAAUCCUAGAGGCUGUCUCAUGUAAAUCACUUCAUCCAAUUCACUAUGCAAGAAUGUAGUUUUUACAUCUAGUUUAUCAAGAUUCCAUUUAAAUUGCACAACUAAAGCAAGAAUACAUCUUGUAGUUGUAUAUUUAACCACGGGGGAAAAAAUCUCAUCAUAGUCCACACCUUCUUUUUGUGUGAAACCCUUGACAACUAGUCUAGCUUUGUAUCUAACAUUAUUAGUGUCACAUUCCCCUUCCUUGAUUUUAUAAAUCCACUUGCAAUCAACUAGUUUCUUAUCCUUUGGUUUGUCAACCAAUUCUCAAGUUUCAUUCUUGUAUGAGGAAGACAUUUCUUCUUCCAUAACACUCAACCACCGCUUAGAAUUUUUAGAUUUCAAAGUUUCAUGAUAGGAACUAGGUUCAGAUUCAAUUUCUUCUUGGUAAGUGAACAAAGACACAAAGUCAUCACUAUUGAACCUAGCCGGUGGUCUAAUUUGCCUCAUAUCCCUAUCUCUAGUGAGCUGGUAUUCAUCUAGAGGUAUAUUUAUGUCAUCACAUAAAUCAGGUUAGACCAAAUCAGGCUAAUUCUCAUUCUGGUCAGCCUCAUUAGUUGCUGUUUCUAAGGGGACAGAACUAGUAUUUUCAAUUUUAAUAGGCUCCACCUUAAUUUGGACAUCAUUUUCAGUCAAAUUCUCCUUUUUUCCUUCCAAACAUGGCAUACAUGACUCAUUAAAGACCACAUCCCUUCUUAUGAAAACCCUGUAACCUUUUUCCUCAUAAAUCCACAACCUGUAACCUUUAACAUUUUCAGCAUAGCCAAAAAAACACUCAUAUAAGUGAUCUAGAUUCAAAUUUACCUAUGUUUUGAUGAGCAUAUGCAGCACAACAAAAUUUUUUCAAGUAAGAAGAAAUCACAAGCUUUUGUGUCCACACAGAUUCAGGCACAUCAAAAUUUAAAGCACUUGUAGGACUCCUAUUAAUCAAAUAUGCAGCAGUUUUAACAGUUUCACCCCAAAAUAAUUUGGGCAAGCCUGAACUUACAAGCAUGCGUCUAACUUUAUUCAACAAAGUCCUAUUCAUUCUUUCUGCAAUGCCAUUUUGUUGGGUUGUGUAUGUUACAAUUCUAUGUCUUAAGAUGCCAUGCAACUUGCAAAAAUCACUAAACUCAUAAUUGCAAAAUUCUAGUCCAUUGUCUAUUCUCAAAGUUUUGAUUUUCAAUUUGGGUUUUCCUAUUUUUAAAUGUAGUAAAUGUUUCAUCUUUAGCUUUCAAAAGAAAUACCCAAAUUUUUCUUGAGAAAUCAUCAAUAAUAAGCAAGUAAUACUUGUAACCAGACAAUGUAGGGGUGGAUGCAAGACCCCACAAAUUAGAAUGCAAAUAUUCUAGAAUUUGCUUUGAUUUAUGAGUACUAGUGUGAAAAUGUAAUUUAACUUGCUUUCCAAUCAAACAAUGUUCACAUUUAGCCAAUUCACCAAUAUUUGAUUUUCCAAAUACACCUUUAUUUUGUAAAGCCUUUAAACCUUUUACCCCAAUGUGACCAAGUCUACAAUGCCACAAUUUUACAAGAUUAAAUUCAUCAUUUAUAACUGCUAUUGUAAGACCCAAUAAAGGUUUUGCAUUUAGAAAGUAUAAACCAUGUCUCUUUAGGAUAGAAGUGAUCAAAACACUACCCUUAAAGAUUUUUAUGUGUCCUUGAACCAAUUUUAUGUCAAACUCCAUGUUAUCCAACAUUCCUAGAGACACAAGGUUUCUUUCUAAUUCAGGAACAAAUCUGGCAUCUUUUAAUAAUAAAAUUCUGCCAUUUUCUAAAAGCAAUUUUAUUGUUCCAAUACCUUUAACUUUGCAGGUUAUGUUGUUUUCCAUGAUAACUUGGCCUCCUUUUGUUUGUUCAAAAUCCAUAAAAUAGUUUUUAUUAGGGCACAUGUGAAAAGAGCAACCUGAAUCAAGAAUCCAUUCUUGAUUCACGUUCCUUUCAACAUUUACAAGAAUCAGGCAAUUAUCAAUUUGUUUCUUAUCAUAGGACAUAACAGCAUUACCUUCACUUAGCUUCUUUCCUUUCAAAUCAUUUUGCUUUUUAUAAUAAUCCUUUGCAAAGUGACCCAACUUACCACAAUAAAAACAUUUCUUUCCAUUUGCCUUAGUUUUGGAUUUCCUUUUGUCCUUGUUCCUUUUCUUAGGGUCAUUUUGAAAUUUUGAAUGAAAAUUAGAUUUGCCAACAUUUUUGCAUUUUAACAAAAGAUUUUCUCCACUUCGAUGGUUGAUAGAAUCUGAUUUUAAUUCAAGAACCCUAUUUCUUAAGGCAUUUAUAAUGAUAUCUGUGGUAAGCUCAUCUCUUCCAUAUUCCAAGGCAUUCUUUUAGAUCUCUAUGCGUAUCACUAAUGGAGUUUAACAAGACCACAGCCAGCUGAUCUUCUGAUAAUUUCUCAUCACAGUUGGCAAGGUCUUCGGUCAAUUUUGUAAAUCUGUCCAAGUUUUCAUCCAAGUCAACUGAAGGGUCCAUUUUGAAAGAAAAGAAUUGUUUAAGCAAAAAAUAUUUGUUUGGAACAGUUUUUUGCUCAUAUUGAGCUUUCAAUUUGGUCCACAAUUCUUCGGCAGUUUUAGUUUCACCUAUACACGUGAUCACAUUGUCCGAAAGGUACAAGAAAAUAGUACUCCACGCUAUUUCUUCUAACUCAGUUCUUUUAGCAACAGACAUUUCAGCAGGCCAUGAAUUAUCUAGGGCUUUAGCACAUUUCGUUUGGAUUAAGAUAGCCAUCAUUUUCUAGCUCCACAUAUUAAAGUCCUUCCUCCCGUUAAACAUGCUCAAUUCAAACUUAGUAGUAGCCAUGACAAGAUUCACCAAGAAAGUUCACAAUACACAAGUUUGAUUUCAAGAACACACAGGGACACACAAUAACAAUACUGCAGGCAGACUAGGGGAUCAGGGGCCAAUAACCAAUGCACUUAUACAAUUUUCACCAAAUAGUAAACACUUAACACUAAGUAUAAUAGGAAGAAUCACAAAGGACAGAGAUAUCAAUUCCUACAGACUCUAGAAUGUAGGAAAGAUCUCACCAAACGAGUUUGAUAAAACUCAAUAUCUACCAGCCAAUGUUUACUGCAGUUUGAAGGGAGGUUUCAGAAUCCAGUCAAUUCAUAGGAAUCAGAGAUGCUCCAAUAGUCCAAGAUUGCUCUGACACCACUGAAAAGUCAAGGAGCGUCCAAGAAUUAAUCAAGAUCAAACAAACACAACAAACAGUAAAGAAAUGCAGAAAAUUGUAAAAUGAACACAAGAUUUUUCCGGCCGAAGCCCCAGAGGUUCAGCGACCACUUCUAAUGCCUAUUCCCCUGUUAAGCAUCCAUUAAAAUGGAUAAAGCUCAGUUGUACUAUAAAGCCCCAAAAAUUAGGCAACAAAAAUACAACAGUGUUCCAGAAAUUUACAAAGAACCAAAUAUCGAACUUAUCUUUUCUAGAACUACACAAGGCAACCACUAUUCCACACAGGAACUAACUGAGAUCACAAAGAUCAACCAACACAGAUUUUGCCCUCCAAACUGCCCUUUCUUGAACCACACAGGUUCAUACAAGACUCGACACACAUUUAACCACGGUAACUCUCAACAUUUAUCACUGGAACCCUCAAGAAAAAACCCUUUUCAUGAAGAAAAUGAAGUUCUCACACAGAGAACAACGAGAACCCGUAUACGAUCUCAACACCAAGAAUAAUAUCCCAAAUCUUGCUUCUAGUUAAAUGAAUCACCCAAGAAUAAUAGAGAGUUAACACUCAGAGAAGAAGAGACAGGCAACUUCGAACCCUCGAGAAUAUCUCACGUCUUUUUGACAAAAACCAAAAAUAAAGUCUCUGAAAUUUUCUUCUCUAACUGCCGGUCACAAAACAAGAGUAAUCUCCAAUAAUAUCUUCAACAUAAGAACCCUAAAUCACCAGGAAAUUAGGGAUUCUCGAAGAGAAAGAAAGGGGCAAGUUCACGGGCUGAAGGAAAGAAAUAAUUUCUGAAUUUUUCUGUCAAAAACUGAAGCUGAACCUGUCCAGCAGAAUAGUCACCAGAUUUAUA